CACCGCCCGUCGCUACUACCGAUUGGAUGACUUAGUGAGGUCUUAGGACCGAAGUAAAGGAGCUUUAACGAGUUCUUUUGCUUUGGAAAUUUGAUCAAACUACGUUAUCUAGAGGAAGUAAAAGUCGUAACAAGGUUUCCGUAGGUGAACCUGCGGAAGG
This 160-nucleotide ribosomal RNA is filed under the name Xiphinema browni. RNAcentral's name for it is "partial 18S small subunit ribosomal RNA". It matches the Rfam family "Eukaryotic small subunit ribosomal RNA", at positions 1667 to 1824 of the family's 1831-position model. Lineage: Eukaryota; Metazoa; Nematoda; Enoplea; Dorylaimida; Longidoridae. The record is from RNAcentral.